UACGUAGGGUGCGAGCGUUAAUCGGAAUUACUGGGCGUAAAGUGUGCGCAGGCGGCGUUGCAAGUCGAGUGUGAAAUCCCUGGGCUUAACUUGGGAACUGCGCUCGAAACUACGAUGCUGGAGUGUGGCAGAGGAAGGUGGAAUUCCACGUGUAGCGGUGAAAUGCGUAGAGAUGUGGAGGAACACCGAUGGCGAAGGCAGCCUUCUGGGCCAACACUGACGCUCAUGCACGAAAGCGUGGGGAGCAAACAGG
Molecule: ribosomal RNA, 253 nt
Filed under: uncultured bacterium
Lineage: Bacteria
Description: partial 16S ribosomal RNA
Rfam family: Bacterial small subunit ribosomal RNA
Source: RNAcentral